CCUACGGGUGGCUGCAGUGGGGAAUAUUGCACAAUGGGGGAAACCCUGAUGCAGCGACGCCGCGUGAGUGAAGAAGUACUUCGUUACGUAAAGCUCUAUCAGCAGGGAAGAAAUACUGACCUUACGGUCAGCAGACGGUACCUGAGUAAGAAGCCCCGGCUAACUACGUGCCAGCAGCGGCGGUAAUACGUAGGGGGCACGCGUUAUCCGGAUUUACUGGGUGUAAAGGGAGCGUAGACGGUGCACCAAGUCUGGAGUGAAAAGCCGCAGCUUAACUGUGGAACUGCUUUUGAAACUGGCGAACGAGAGUGCGGGAGGAGUAAGCGGAAUUCCUGGUGUAGCGGUGAAAUGCGUAGAUAUUAGGAGGAACACCGGUGGCGAAGGCGGCUUACUGGACCGUAACUGACGUUGAGGCUCGAAAGCGUGGGGAGCAAACAGGAUUAGAUACCCGGGUAGUC
RNAcentral lists this ribosomal RNA (458 nucleotides) under uncultured bacterium. Its description in RNAcentral is "partial 16S ribosomal RNA". It matches the Rfam family "Bacterial small subunit ribosomal RNA", at positions 338 to 795 of the family's 1533-position model. The record is from RNAcentral.